RNAcentral lists this ribosomal RNA (524 nucleotides) under Gomphus calakmulensis. Its description in RNAcentral is "SSU rRNA". It matches the Rfam family "Bacterial small subunit ribosomal RNA", at positions 367 to 935 of the family's 1533-position model. Lineage: Eukaryota; Fungi; Basidiomycota; Agaricomycetes; Gomphales; Gomphaceae. The record is from RNAcentral.
GUCAAUGCUCGCAAGAGUGAACUAGCUAACUGGAAUCAUGAGUGUGUCACUUAUGAUAAUGUAAAGGAAAAAUAAUGAUAUCACUUUAUUAUUAGUGUUGUCCAAAGCUGGUGCCAGAAGACUCGGUAAUGCCAGAGACGCAAGCGUUAAUCAUCUUUAUCAGGCGUAAAGGGUUUGUAGGCUGCUUUAAACAAAAUAUAACAAAUAUAAUAUAUUAAGAAAUAGAGCUUGAAUCAUAUAGAGGUCACUAUAAGAGAACUCUUAGAGUAGGGUUGAUAUCUUUAAAUACUGAGAGGAAUUCUAAUUAGCGAAAGCACUUUUCCAAUUAAUGAUUGACGCUGAGAAACGAAGGUGAGGAUCGACAAUAGGAUUAGAUACCCUGGCAUCCCUCUCUGUAAACUAUGAAUGGUAGUUGCUAGUUCUAUAGAGCUAGUGGCGAUGUUAACACGUUAACCAUUCCGCCUUGUGAGUACAAUUGCAAAGUUGAAAAUAAAAAAAUUAGUCGGUUUCGGAGCAAACGAAGU